UUUCCAAAACUGUAACUCAUUAUCACAAACAGGAAAUUGGCAGUGAUACAAUAUACUGACCUUGCUGAGAUUUCCAUAGUUUUACUUGCACUGGUGUGGGUGUGUGUCUCCUUGGUCUGUUUCUGCCUCAGGCGUAAUUAACUACUGCACAUCAAGCCUUUAGAGGAGAACACUGGACUCUGCUUCAGAUAAAGGGGUAAAGAAGAAGACAGAUUGGACAUGCUCCUAAGCCCACAUAAUCGAACUGAUGAAGUCAGAAAAAACACACGCAUGUGGGUGUAUGAGCACAUACAACUCAGAAAGGAUGUUUACAUUUACUGCUUUCUUCUUCAGGUUUUGGUGGUGAUGGUGGUGGCAUUUAAGGACAUUUGGAAAUGGCAAUAUAAUAUUCCACAUAAAUAAUAUAGCCGGAUUGGCUCAUGUACCUGCACAAGUGCCCAGGGUUGCAUCACUUACAAAGGCUAUUGAUUUUAACAGCAAAUUCAAGUGUCUUAUACUUCAGAAGUGAAAAAAAAAUAUGACUGAGCAGGACUGCUAUCCCCUUCUUAGAGACCACAUUGAUUAAUCCCUGUCAACAUUUAUAGAUUUCACCUUAAACUCUGCCGAUUUUCCACAGCUAUUAGAUGCUAGGUCUUAAGAAGACAAAGAAUGGGGAGACUUUGACAUUGUCUUAAAUUAUGGUGACUCAGUUUGGAUUUUAACCAUUGUGUAAGAAACCGAAAAAAGGUGGAUAAAAAUGUCAAGAGAACUGGAGAAUGUUUUUAAUUAAAAUUUCAGCACUAUAGUACAUAACCAAGAUGUUCUAAUAUUUGAGAAUUGUAUGAAAUGCUAUAUAAAAAAGUGCCAUUGAUAUUAUCAUCUCUAAAUUAGGAGACGAAUAAGGACUUCCUGCAAAACGCAUUAAUAUAUCUGUAGAAAUAGAUUAUUUACCUCGUUACAUAAGAAAGUUACUUUUUACAACCUAAAUGUGUUUUACUUUUAACUUGUUAAUUUGGUGUUUGCUAACUUUUCAAUUUUAGAAAUUAGAUUUUUGGUUCCAGGUUAAAUUUUUUUCUCUUUAGUAAACAAAACCAACUGCUGAAAAAUUGUUGAAGCAAUUAUUUACUUAAUACAAUUAGAUCCAUAAACAUUGCCAUGAAAAAUCUUAUCUCUCUCUCUGCUGGCUAAAUCUUCCGGAAAUUAAAUUCUAAAAGCAGACAGAAAGACUUUCCAUUUAGGGGCAUGCUUUUGUUCGGUGCUUUAAUUCUCAUAAGAGAAUGACAAGCCUACCUUUAGCUCUGUGGAUUCCUAAAGGGCAUGGGUCUGCCCCUGAGUGACAUUACAGAGUAGCUGUGAGAGCUCCU
This 1343-nucleotide long non-coding RNA is filed under the name Vulpes vulpes (red fox). RNAcentral's name for it is "lncRNA (ENSVVUG00000012410.1)". Lineage: Eukaryota; Metazoa; Chordata; Mammalia; Carnivora; Canidae. The record is from RNAcentral.